Molecule: non-coding RNA, 26 nt
Filed under: Rattus norvegicus (Norway rat)
Lineage: Eukaryota; Metazoa; Chordata; Mammalia; Rodentia; Muridae
Source: RNAcentral
UCGGUUUCUAAUCCAAUGCCCUUCCU